AUGAACGCUGGCGGCGUGCCUAAUCCCUGCAAGUCGAGCGAACAGAUGAGGAGCUUGCUCCUCUGACGUUAGCGGCGGACGGGUGAGUAACACGUGGAUAACCUACCUAUAAGACUGGGAUAACUUCGGGAAACCGGAGCUAAUACCGGAUAAUAUAUUGAACCGCAUGGUUCAAUAGUGAAAGACGGUUUUGCUGUCACUUAUAGAUGGAUCCGCGCCGCAUUAGCUAGUUGGUAAGGUAACGGCUUACCAAGGCAACGAUGCGUAGCCGACCUGAGAGGGUGAUCGGCCACACUGGAACUGAGACACGGUCCAGACUCCUACGGGAGGCAGCAGUAGGGAAUCUUCCGCAAUGGGCGAAAGCCUGACGGAGCAACGCCGCGUGAGUGAUGAAGGUCUUCGGAUCGUAAAACUCUGUUAUUAGGGAAGAACAAAUGUGUAAGUAACUAUGCACGUCUUGACGGUACCUAAUCAGAAAGCCACGGCUAACUACGUG
RNAcentral lists this ribosomal RNA (496 nucleotides) under uncultured bacterium. RNAcentral describes it as "partial 16S ribosomal RNA". It matches the Rfam family "Bacterial small subunit ribosomal RNA", at positions 29 to 507 of the family's 1533-position model. The record is from RNAcentral.